GAUGAAGGGAGCUUGCUCCUGGAUUCAGCGGCGGACGGGUGAGUAAUGCCUAGGAAUCUGCCUGGUAGUGGGGGAUAACGUCCGGAAACGGGCGCUAAUACCGCAUACGUCCUGAGGGAGAAAGUGGGGGAUCUUCGGACCUCACGCUAUCAGAUGAGCCUAGGUCGGAUUAGCUAGUUGGUGGGGUAAAGGCCUACCAAGGCGACGAUCCGUAACUGGUCUGAGAGGAUGAUCAGUCACACUGGAACUGAGACACGGUCCAGACUCCUACGGGAGGCAGCAGUGGGGAAUAUUGGACAAUGGGCGAAAGCCUGAUCCAGCCAUGCCGCGUGUGUGAAGAAGGUCUUCGGAUUGUAAAGCACUUUAAGUUGGGAGGAAGGGCAGUAAGUUAAUACCUUGCUGUUUUGACGUUACCAACAGAAUAAGCACCGGCUAACUUCGUGCCAGCAGCCGCGGUAAUACGAAGGGUGCAAGCGUUAAUCGGAAUUACUGGGCGUAAAGCGCGCGUAGGUGGUUCAGCAAGUUGGAUGUGAAAUCCCCGGGCUCAACCUGGGAACUGCAUCCAAAACUACUGAGCUAGAGUACGGUAGAGGGUGGUGGAAUUUCCUGUGUAGCGGUGAAAUGCGUAGAUAUACGAAGGAACACCAGUGGCGAAGGCGACCACCUGGACUGAUACUCACACUGAGGUGCGAAAGCAUGGGGAGCAAACACGAGGAGGUACCCUCCUAGUCCACGCGUGAUACUAUGUCUACUAGCCCUUUGGAUCCUUCAGAAGUAAUUGCCGC
This 785-nucleotide ribosomal RNA is filed under the name Pseudomonas aeruginosa. RNAcentral's name for it is "bacterial SSU rRNA". It matches the Rfam family "Bacterial small subunit ribosomal RNA", at positions 68 to 849 of the family's 1533-position model. Lineage: Bacteria; Pseudomonadati; Pseudomonadota; Gammaproteobacteria; Pseudomonadales; Pseudomonadaceae. The record is from RNAcentral.